UACGAGAGCCUCAAGCGUUAUCCGGAAUUAUUGGGCGUAAAGGGUGUGUAGGCGGCAAUGUUAGUCUGAUGUCAAAGCCUUCCCGCUUAACGGGAAGAUCGCAUGGGAAACGGCAUAGCUAGGAGGGUGCGAGAGGUGAAUGGAACUCACGGUGUAGGGGUGAAAUCCGUUGAUAUCGUGGGGAACGCCAAAAGCGAAGGCAAUUCACUGGCGCAUACCUGACGCUGAAACACGAAAGCCAGGGUAUCGAAUGGG
This 255-nucleotide ribosomal RNA is filed under the name uncultured bacterium. Its description in RNAcentral is "partial 16S ribosomal RNA". It matches the Rfam family "Bacterial small subunit ribosomal RNA", at positions 524 to 776 of the family's 1533-position model. The record is from RNAcentral.